CACCGCCCGUCACACCAUGGGAGUUGAUUGCUCCAGAAGUGGCUGAGCUAACCCGCAAGGAAGGCAGGUCCCCAAGGAGUGAUUGGUAACUGGGGUG
Molecule: ribosomal RNA, 97 nt
Filed under: uncultured bacterium
Lineage: Bacteria
Description: partial 16S ribosomal RNA
Rfam family: Bacterial small subunit ribosomal RNA
Source: RNAcentral